GAUGAACGCUGGCGGCAUGCCUAAUACAUGCAAGUCGAGCGAACAGACGAGGAGCUUGCUCCUCUGACGUUAUAGGCGGACGGGUGAGUAACACGGGGAUAACCUACCUAUAAGACUGGGAUAACAUCGGGAAACCGGAGCUAAUACCGGAUAAUAUAUUGAACCGCAUGGUUCACUAGUGAAAGACGGUUUUGCUGUGACUUAUAGAUGGAUCCGCGCCGCAUUAGCUAGUUGGUAAGGUAACGGCUUACCAAGGCAACGAGGCGUAGCCGACCUGAGAGGGUGAUCGGCCACACGGGCAGUGAGACUCGGUCCAGACUCCGACGGUAGGCAGCAGUAGGGACUCUUCCGCGAUGGGCGAAAGCCUGACGUAGCAACGCCGGGUGAGGGAUGAAGGUGUUAGGAUCGUAAAACGCUGUUAUUAGUGAAGAAGAAAUGUGUAAGUAACUAGGCUGAUCUUGACGGUACCGAAACAGAAAGCCCCGGUUAACUACGUG
RNAcentral lists this ribosomal RNA (497 nucleotides) under uncultured bacterium. Its description in RNAcentral is "partial 16S ribosomal RNA". It matches the Rfam family "Bacterial small subunit ribosomal RNA", at positions 28 to 507 of the family's 1533-position model. The record is from RNAcentral.